CAUAGCGGUUAGACAUCUAUAUGCCUUAUGAAGUGAUCCCCAGGAAGUCUGGCACCCACCUGACAAGCUGAGUAUUCAUCAAAGCAAAGGGUCUCAGACUUGGGCAUGUUUGGAACCAUCUGGACUGUGUGAUAAGCAGGCAGUUGUAUCAAACAUCUCAACACACCCAAGGCAGGCCUGUUCUCUCAUGGUGUUGCAUGUGCCAUUCUCGUCGGCAGCCCCCAGCCCUCCUUUAGCUCCCAAAGCCCCGUGGAACCCAGCCCGGACAUUGGAACGGCCCCUAAGCUCCUUCCACAUCGUGUGGCUUCCUCAUCGCAGUCAUUCCAGAAACAGCUGCUUAAUGAUUGAUCCAACCCAUCCAUUUAGGACGUGGAGCUGACUCGGCUGUGACGAGGGUUUGCGUGAGGACUCUGGUCAGUGACUCUCAAAGGGUGGGCUCCUGGACAGCAGCAGCACCCCGAAACCUGUUAGACGGGGAAAUACAUGGCCCCCGCCCAGAACUGCUGAAUCAGAAACGCUGGUGUUGGAGGGCAGCACCGAUGUGGAAACAAGCCUUCCAGGUGACUCGGAUCAUGCUAAAGCUCAGGACCACUGCUUUAGACCCGGGAGCAGCUUCCGACGUGGGUACCAAGCUUUUGUUCCUUCGUGGACUCGAGCAUCUGUCUGUUUUCCUCCUCGGAGGAACUUCAUUCGAAGCAGUAGGCCUAUCCCAGAUCAUCCUUUUAGGGGAAAAGGAGAUGAGGAAGGAUGAGAACCAAACUUUUGGAUGAACUCAGAACAAAUGAUCCACGAGCCAUUGUCUCCUAAUACUGGAGGCCG
This is a long non-coding RNA of Myotis brandtii (Brandt's bat), 819 nucleotides long. RefSeq lists it as uncharacterized. The record is from RefSeq and is a predicted model, not a curated record. The transcript has 4 exons. Lineage: Eukaryota; Metazoa; Chordata; Mammalia; Chiroptera; Vespertilionidae.